AAUUUAAAUGCCAAAUUAGAGUUUUGACCCCAAUUUUACGGUUCACUGAACAUAGAAAAUGAUAGUGCAAAUUUCAGGUUAAAGUUUUUGGCUUCAGGUUAAAGUUUUUGGUCAAGGUAGAUUUUGAUGAAGUUGAAGUCCAAUCAGCUUGAAACUUAGUACACAUGUGUCCUAUGAUAUGAUCUUUCUAAUUUGAAUGCCAAAUUAGAGUUUUAACCCCAAUUUCACGGUUCACUGAACAUAGAAAAUGAUAGUGCAAAUUUCAGGUUAAAGUUUUUUGCUUCAGGUUAAAGUUUUUGUCAAGGUAGUUUUUGAUGAAGUUGAAGUCCAAUCAACUUGAAACUUAGUAUACAUGUGCCCUAUGAUAUGAUCUUUCUAAUUUAAAUGCCAAAUUAGAGUUUUGACCCCAAUUUUACGGUUCACUGAACAUAGAAAAUGAUAGUGCAAAUUUCAGGUUAAAGUUUUUGGUCAAGGUAGUUUUUGAUGAAGUUGAAGUCCAAUCAACUUGAAACUUAGUAUACAUGUGCCCUAUGAUAUGAUCUUUCUAAUUUAAAUGCCAAAUUAGAU
This 567-nucleotide long non-coding RNA is filed under the name Mytilus galloprovincialis (Mediterranean mussel). Lineage: Eukaryota; Metazoa; Mollusca; Bivalvia; Mytilida; Mytilidae. The record is from RNAcentral.